This 497-nucleotide ribosomal RNA is filed under the name uncultured bacterium. RNAcentral describes it as "partial 16S ribosomal RNA". It matches the Rfam family "Bacterial small subunit ribosomal RNA", at positions 28 to 507 of the family's 1533-position model. The record is from RNAcentral.
GAUGAACGCUGGCGGCGUGCCUAAUACAUGCAAGUCGAGCGAACGGACGAGAAGCUUGCUUCUCUGAUGUUAGCGGCGGACGGGUGAGUAACACGUGGAUAACCUACCUAUAAGACUGGGAUAACUUCGGGAAACCGGAGCUAAUACCGGAUAAUAUUUUGAACCGCAUGGUUCAAAAGUGACAGACGGUCUUGCUGUCACUUAUAGAUGGAUUCGAGCUGCAUUAGCUAGUUGGUAAGGUAACGGAUUACCAAGGCAACGAUGCAUAGCCGACCUGAGAGGGUGAGCGGCCACACUGGAACGGAGGCACGGUCCAGACUCCUACGGGAGGCAGCAGUAGGGAAUCUUCCGCGAUGGGCGAAAGCCUGACGGAGCAACGCCGCGUGAGUGAUGAAGGUCUUCGGAUCGUAAAACUCUGUUAUUAGGGAAGAACAUAUGUGUAAGUAACUGUGCACAUCUUGACGGUACCUAAUCAGAAAGCCACGGCUAACUACGUG